AACACAUGCAAGUCGAGCGGAAACGAGUUAUCUGAACCUUCGGGGAACGAUAACGGCGUCGAGCGGCGGACGGGUGAGUAAUGCCUAGGAAAUUGCCCUGAUGUGGGGGAUAACCAUUGGAAACGAUGGCUAAUACCGCAUAAUACCUACGGGUCAAAGAGGGGGACCUUCGGGCCUCUCGCGUCAGGAUAUGCCUAGGUGGGAUUAGCUAGUUGGUGAGGUAAUGGCUCACCAAGGCGACGAUCCCUAGCUGGUCUGAGAGGAUGAUCAGCCACACUGGAACUGAGACACGGUCCAGACUCCUACGGGAGGCAGCAGUGGGGAAUAUUGCACAAUGGGCGCAAGCCUGAUGCAGCCAUGCCGCGUGUGUGAAGAAGGCCUUCGGGUUGUAAAGCACUUUCAGUCGUGAGGAAGGUAGUGUAGUUAAUAGCUGCAUUAUUUGACGUUAGCGACAGAAGAAGCACCGGCUAACUCCGUGCCAGCAGCCGCGGUAAUACGGAGGGUGCGAGCGUUAAUCGGAAUUACUGGGCGUAAAGCGCAUGCAGGUGGUUUGUUAAGUCAGAUGUGAAAGCCCGGGGCUCAACCUCGGAAUAGCAUUUGAAACUGGCAGACUAGAGUACUGUAGAGGGGGGUAGAAUUUC
RNAcentral lists this ribosomal RNA (641 nucleotides) under uncultured Vibrio sp. RNAcentral describes it as "bacterial SSU rRNA". It matches the Rfam family "Bacterial small subunit ribosomal RNA", at positions 50 to 670 of the family's 1533-position model. The record is from RNAcentral. Lineage: Bacteria; Pseudomonadati; Pseudomonadota; Gammaproteobacteria; Vibrionales; Vibrionaceae.